This 314-nucleotide long non-coding RNA is filed under the name Trifolium pratense (red clover). Its description in RNAcentral is "long non-coding RNA (TPRA_LNC008890)". Lineage: Eukaryota; Viridiplantae; Streptophyta; Magnoliopsida; Fabales; Fabaceae. The record is from RNAcentral.
CAUCUUGCCCCCGAUUGCUUCCACACAUUCCCGUAGCUCAGACGGCGAUAUUUUUCCAUCUCCAUUUUCAUCAAAGUGAUUGAACACACGUAUAUAUUGACUCACCUUGUCCAUGACGUCCAUAGUGUAUAUAUUUGUAAUUUUGUAUGUAUCAAUGUAUUACUCUAACUUCAAAAUUAAUUUGUACAACACUAUAGAUGAAAAACGAAAGUAUCGAGAAUUUUUUUUAUAAAGAAGAAAGUAUGAAGAUGCUAUAGGCAAAAAUAAUUGUGACCUUAUAUAUAUAUAUGGUUUGUGGCAAAAUUUGUUGUGGG